GUCUUUUUGAAUUUAAUUUAAAGUCUAAUCUGCCCACUGAUUUAAAAUUAAAGGGCUGCAGUAAUUUGACUGUACAAAGGUAGCAUAAUCAUUAGUCUUUUAAUUGAAGACUUGUAUGAAAGAUUUGAUGAGAUAUAAACUGUCUCUUAUUUAUAAUUAAAAUUUAAUUUUUUAGUUAAAAAGCUAAAAUAAAUUUAAAAGACGAGAAGACCCUAUAGAGUUUUAUAAUUUAUAAAUUAAAAUAUUUAUAUAAAAUUUUAAUAUUAAAUUUUGUUAAUUAUUUUAUUGGGGUGAUAAAAAAAUUUAAAAAACUUUUUUUUAAAAAUUUUCAUAAAUAAAUGAAUAAAUGAUCUUGAAUAAUGAUUAAAAGAAAAAAUUACCUUAGGGAUAACAGCGUAAUAUUUUUUUUUAGUACAAAUAAAAAAAAAAGUUUGCGACCUCGAUGUUGGAUUAAGAUAAAAUUUAAAUGCAAAAGUUUAAAAUUUUGAUCUGUUCGAUCAUUAAAAUCUUACAUGAUCUGAGCUCAAACCGGA
This 533-nucleotide ribosomal RNA is filed under the name Jamides celeno. Its description in RNAcentral is "partial 16S ribosomal RNA". The stretch from base 387 to 533 matches the Rfam family "Archaeal large subunit ribosomal RNA", at positions 2542 to 2689 of the family's 2987-position model. The record is from RNAcentral. Lineage: Eukaryota; Metazoa; Arthropoda; Insecta; Lepidoptera; Lycaenidae.